CCCAAGAGAUCGGGAUAACACCUCGAAACAGAUGCUAAUACCGGAUAACAACAGAUGAUGCCUAUCAACUGUUUAAAAGAUGGUUCUGCUAUCACUCUUGGAUGGACCUGCGGUGCAUUAGCUAGUUGGUAGGGUAACGGCCUACCAAGGCGAUGAUGCAUAGCCGAGUUGAGAGACUGAUCGGCCACAUUGGGACUGAGACACGGCCCAAACUCCUACGGGAGGCAGCAGUG
Molecule: ribosomal RNA, 233 nt
Filed under: uncultured Lactobacillus sp.
Lineage: Bacteria; Bacillati; Bacillota; Bacilli; Lactobacillales; Lactobacillaceae
Description: partial 16S ribosomal RNA
Rfam family: Bacterial small subunit ribosomal RNA
Source: RNAcentral